This 270-nucleotide ribosomal RNA is filed under the name Triticum aestivum (bread wheat). RNAcentral describes it as "partial small subunit ribosomal RNA". Lineage: Eukaryota; Viridiplantae; Streptophyta; Magnoliopsida; Poales; Poaceae. The record is from RNAcentral.
AUGCCAUUCUUGGUGGCACUUGUUGUGUGGAAUGUGAGAGGUCUAAAUGCCCCAGCUAGACGAAGUGCCGUCUUCCAGCUCUUAUCUUUGGUGAGUGAGAGCAUUGUUUGUCUCCAAGAGACCAAGGUGGAGGUUGUAACAGAUCAACUCGUGCGUGAGUGCUUUGGCAAUAGACUUGACAUGUUUCUUUAUCUCCCAGCCAUGGGAAUACGUGGGGGCAUACUAUUUGUCUGGGAUUCAUACUGUGGUAUUCUUGUCAAAUGUGCAUAG